Molecule: ribosomal RNA, 157 nt
Filed under: Vanderwaltozyma polyspora
Lineage: Eukaryota; Fungi; Ascomycota; Saccharomycetes; Saccharomycetales; Saccharomycetaceae
Description: 5.8S ribosomal RNA
Rfam family: 5.8S ribosomal RNA
About the family: 5.8S ribosomal RNA (5.8S rRNA) is a component of the large subunit of the eukaryotic ribosome. It is transcribed by RNA polymerase I as part of the 45S precursor that also contains 18S and 28S rRNA.
Source: RNAcentral
AAAACUUUCAACAACGGAUCUCUUGGUUCUCGCAUCGAUGAAGAACGCAGCGAAAUGCGAUACGUAAUGUGAAUUGCAGAAUUCCGUGAAUCAUCGAAUCUUUGAACGCACAUUGCGCCCCUUGGUAUUCCGGGGGGCAUGCCUGUUUGAGCGUCAU